GAUGAACGCUGGCGGCGUGCCUAAUACAUGCAAGUCGAGCGAACGGACGAGAAGCUUGCUUCUCUGAUGUUAGCGGCGGACGGGUGAGUAACACGUGGAUAACCUACCUAUAAGACUGGGAUAACUUCGGGAAACCGGAGCUAAUACCGGAUAAUAUUUUGAACCGCAUGGUUCAAAAGUGAAAGACGGUCUUGCUGUCACUUAUAGAUGGAUCCGCGCUGCAUUAGCUAGUUGGUAAGGUAACGGCUUACCAAGGCAACGAUGCAUAGCCGACCUGAGAGGGUUAUCGGCCACACUGGAACUGAGACACGGUCCAGACUCCUACGGGAGGCAGCAGUAGGGAAUCUUCCGCAAAGGGCGAAAGCCUGACGGAGCAACGCCGCGUGAGUGAUGAAGGUCUUCGGAUCGUAAAACUCUGUUAUUAGGGAAGAACAUAUGUGUAAGUAACUGUGCACAUCUUGACGGUACCUAAUCAGAAAGCCACGGCUAACUACGUG
This 497-nucleotide ribosomal RNA is filed under the name uncultured bacterium. RNAcentral describes it as "partial 16S ribosomal RNA". It matches the Rfam family "Bacterial small subunit ribosomal RNA", at positions 28 to 507 of the family's 1533-position model. The record is from RNAcentral.